GAUGAACGCUGGCGGCGUGCCUAAUACAUGCAAGUCGAGCGAACGGACGAGAAGCUUGCUUCUCUGAUGUUAGCGGCGGACGGGUGAGUAACACGUGGAUAACCUACCUAUAAGACUGGGAUAACUUCGGGAAACCGGAGCUAAUACCGGAUAAUAUUUUGAACCGCAUGGUUCAAAAGUGAAAGACGGUCUUGCUGUCACUUAUAGAUGGAUCCGCGCUGCAUUAGCUAGUUGGUAAGGUAACGGCUUACCAAGGCAACGAUGCAUAGCCGACCUGAGAGAGUGAUCGGCCACACUGGAACUGAGACACGGUCCAGAAUCCGACGGGAGGCAGCAGUAGGGAAUCUUCCGCAAUGGGAGAAAGCCUGACGGAGCAACGCCGCGUGAGUGAUGAAGGUCUUCGGAUCGUAAAACUCUGUCAUUAGGGAAGAACAUAUGUGUAAGUAACUGUGCACAUCUUGACGGUACCUAAGCAGAAAGCCACGGCUAACUACGU
This 496-nucleotide ribosomal RNA is filed under the name uncultured bacterium. RNAcentral describes it as "partial 16S ribosomal RNA". It matches the Rfam family "Bacterial small subunit ribosomal RNA", at positions 28 to 506 of the family's 1533-position model. The record is from RNAcentral.